GCCGUCUCAGCUGGGCGCCCUAGGGCCGUGUGUGCUUGGCAAGCUGCAGGGCCUCUGCUCCCAAAGCCUGUGCCUCCUGCCGCCAAGGCCCGCCUGGUUGCUGGAGACGGAAAUGAGAUGGCAUACACAGAGCUCCUGGUACAGGCAGUGGUCAGUUCCAUUCAUGUUGAAAGGUGUACCCCAGCCUCUCUCUUCCACUUUCCUCAGCACCAAGCCAACGCAGGCAAAUUCAUAGGUUUUCCUUAAGACAAUACCACUUUAGCCAGACGUGGUAACUCCCCAAGUUUCCAAGCACAGUUAGAGAUCUUCCUACCCUUCUGCUCCUAAGACAUGCCUGCUUGUGGCCAAUAGAGAAUGAGAGCAGAUUUCUGCUUACCUAUGCGGCAAUCUGUUCUGUUGGCCACCCAUUCAUAAACGAUAGUACAUGUGUCGUAAUCAUCUUUGCAUUUGAGAGAGUACCAAACACAGUGCUUUACCCACUGAUACAAACGGUACUUAGUAAAGCAUGCGUUGAAUUUUUGUCUAUCUUAUAAUGUAAGAUCCUGACAAUUAAGACUCAGGAUUAAGCUAAUUGUGCCAAGCACAUGAUAAAUGGUCAAUAAAGGAUUUUGGUUAUUAGUAUAACUCUAUGUGUAUUUCUCUUCCAAACUCUCCCAUAGCAUAUUCUAUUACUUCUUCCAUAGCAUUUCUUUUAUUUUUUAUUUUUUUUGAUGGAGUCUUGCUCUGUCGCCCAGGCUGGAGUGCGGUGGUGUGAUCUAGGCUCACUGCAACCUCCGCCUCCCGGGUUCAAGUGAUUCUCCUGCCUCAGCCUCCCGAGUAGCUGGGACUACAGGCGCGUGCCACCACGCUCGGCUAAUUUUUUGUAUUUUUAGUAGAGACGGGGUUUCACCGUGUUACCCAGGAUGGUCUCAAUCUCCUGACCUUGUGAUCCACCCAUCUUGGCCUCCCAAAGUGCUGGGAUUACAGGCGUGAGCCAUCGCGCCCAGCCCCAUAGUAUUUAUCACUUUCUUUUUCUUUUUUUUUUUUUUUUGAGACAAAGUCUCGCUCUGUUGCCCAGGCUGGAGUGCAGUGGUGCGAUCUGAGCUCACUGCAACCUCGCCUCCUGGGUUCAAGCGAUUCUCCUGCCUCAGCCUCCUGAGUAGCUGGGAUUACAGGCAGGCGCCACCAUGCCCGGCUAAUAUGUAUCUUUAGUAGAGACAGGGUUUCACCAUGUUGUUCAGGCUGGUCUCGAACUCCUGACCUCGUGAUCCACCUGCCUCGGCCUCCCAAAGUGCUGGAAUUACAGGCGUGAGUCACCGUGCCCAGCCGUAUUUAUCACUUUCUAGUUUGGAGUAUAGGGGUGUGUGUGUGUGUGUGUGUGUGUGUGUGUGUGUGUGUCUAAACACUCUACAAAACAGCAACACCUUAAAGGAAGGGGUUGUGUUAUUCAUCUUAGUGCCCUCCCUACCAAAAAUAGCUAGUUGAGUGCAUCAGGUGAGCUCAGUAAACAUAGCUGAAUAAAUUCACUUUUCGAGUUCUCUUUGUGAACCACCACAUAAAUCAUGAACGGGUUCUUAAGGUGUUGGGAUAAAGAUGAUGAUGAUGGUGAUGAUGAUGAUACUAGUAAUGACGGUGGCCCUGAAUUGCCUUUCAUUAUGACAAGGCUCUUGAACCACCUCAUCUUUCCCCUUUAUGAAAAUUUGGGCUGGAGGGAGCUAUGACUACACCAUAAAUGCUAACUAUAGCAUCUCUGGGUUCCAGGGAGAUAAAAUAGGUUGGCUGUUAUGGACUGAACUGUGUUUCCCCAAAAUUCAUGUGUUAAAGCCUAAUCCCCAGUGUGACUGUAGUCAGAAAUAGGGUCUUUAAGGAGGUGAUUAUGAUUAAAUGAGGUCCCAAGGAUAUGACCCUAAUCCAGAAAGACUGGUGUUGAAGAGGAAGAGACACGAGGAGGGUGCAGACACGGAGAAAAGGCCACGUGACGACACACCGAGAAGGCGGCCAUCUGCAUGCCAAGGAGAGAGGCAUCAGGAGAAACCAACUCUGCCAACAUCUUGACAUUGGACUUCCAGCCUCCAGAAUUGUGAGAAAAUUUAUUUCUGCUGUUUAAGCCACCCAGUCUGUGGUAUUUAGUGAUGGCAGUUGUAAGCAGACUAAAACAGUGGUCUUGGAGUCUUUAGAGAAAAAACAAUUGGCUGGGUGCAGUGGCUCACGCCUAUAAUCCCAACACUUUGGGAGGCUGAGGCGGGCGGAUCAGCUGAGGUUGGGAGUUUGAGACCAGCCUGACUAACAUGGUGAAACCCUAUCUCGACUAAAAAUACAAAAUUAGCUGGGCAUGCUGGCGCAUACCUGUAAUUCCAGCUACUUGAGAGGCUGAGGCAGGAGAAUCGCUUGAACCCAGGAGGUGGAGGUUGCAGUGAGCCGAGAUAGCACCAUUGCACUCCAGCCUGGACAACAAGAGUGAAACUGUCUCAAAAAAAAAUCUACUUCUUUUUGGUUUUUGUCCUCCUUCUUAAAAUUAUUUGAUUUGUGGCAUCCUGGAUCCCCCAUCUCACCCUGCUGUAUGCUUUCCUCCCUGGGUAUAAGUUUGGAAAGGGGAAAGGACAUGUUUUUAAGUCCCUGUGAUGUUUAAUUUUAUGUGUCAACUUGACUUGGCCACAAAGUACCCAACAUUCAUUGGUCGAACAUUAUUCUGGGUGUGUUUGUGAGGGUGUUUCUGGGAGAUAAACACAUGAAUCAGUAGACCAUGAAAAGCAGAUGGCCC
Molecule: long non-coding RNA, 2740 nt
Filed under: Homo sapiens (human)
Lineage: Eukaryota; Metazoa; Chordata; Mammalia; Primates; Hominidae
Description: HSALNT0275139
Source: RNAcentral